RNAcentral lists this ribosomal RNA (138 nucleotides) under uncultured Clostridium sp. Its description in RNAcentral is "partial 16S ribosomal RNA". It matches the Rfam family "Bacterial small subunit ribosomal RNA", at positions 340 to 495 of the family's 1533-position model. The record is from RNAcentral. Lineage: Bacteria; Bacillati; Bacillota; Clostridia; Eubacteriales; Clostridiaceae.
UACCGGAGGCAGCAAUUGGGAAUAUUGCACAAUGGGGGCAAACCCUGUGCAGCAACGCCGCGUGAGUGAUGAAGGUUUUCGGAUCGUAAAGCUCUGUCUUUGGGGAAGAUAAUGACGGUACCCAAGGAGGAAGCCACG